AUUGAACGCUGGCGGCAGGCCUAACACAUGCAAGUCGAGCGAGCGGCGGACGGGUGAGUAAUGUAUGGGGACUGCCCGAUAGAGGGGGAUAACUACUGGAAACGGUGGCUAAUACCGCAUACUAUCGGAUAACCCAUAUGGGAUUAGCUAGUAGGUGGGGUAAAGGCUUACCUAGGCGACGAUCUCUAGCUGGUCUGAGAGGAUGAUCAGCAACAAUGGGACGGAGAGACGGCACAGACUCCUAGGGAGGCAGCAGGAGGGAAUAUUGCACAAGGGGCGCAAGCCUGAUGCAGCCAUGCUGCGUGUAUGAAGAAGGCCUUAGGGUUGUAAAGUACUUUCAGCGGGGAGGCGUUACCCUCAGAAGAAGCACCGGCAAACUCCGUGCCAGCAGACGCGGUAAUAG
Molecule: ribosomal RNA, 403 nt
Filed under: uncultured bacterium
Lineage: Bacteria
Description: partial 16S ribosomal RNA
Rfam family: Bacterial small subunit ribosomal RNA
Source: RNAcentral